Molecule: small RNA, 838 nt
Filed under: Pan troglodytes (chimpanzee)
Lineage: Eukaryota; Metazoa; Chordata; Mammalia; Primates; Hominidae
Description: retained intron
Source: RNAcentral
UUACCUGCGCAGAGCAAAAUCGGUUGUAGAUUAUAUCCACGAAAAUUCCUUCUAUUAAAAUGAAUUUCAAGUCCCACCUACCCUGGAAGCAGAAAGAGAGAGAAGAGAGAGAGUAAAGAGAAAGAGAAAAGAAAGAGAAGUUGAAAAAGAGAAAGAAAACCAAGAAAGAAAGAGAAAAAAACCGAAAAUAAAUGGACAAGAAAGAAAAAGGGUGAAGGUCAACCCUGUGCUCAAUUCCAGAGACUUUCCCAGGGACAUCGUGUUGGGCAUGGAGGACUAAGGGCAGUGUGAAGAUAAGUCACCGUUUCUUUAAAAAAAAAAAAAAAGCCAGUAACUUAUAAAAAUAGCCAUAAACGACGUAGUUUUCUGUUGUUGUUGUUUUGAGACAGCGUCUCCCUCUGUCCCCCAGGCGGGAGUACAGUGGCAGGCACUCAGCUCACUGUAACCUCCGCCUCCUGGGUUCAAGUGAUUCUCUUGCCCCAGCCUCCAGAGUAGCCACCACGCCCGGUCCAACUUAGUUUUUUAAUACUUUUUAAAAUUUUAAGACAGGGUCUCUGCCACCGAGGCUGAAAUGCAGUGGCGCAAUCAUAGCUCACUGCAACCUUGACUUCCUGGGGUCCUGGGCAGGUGACCUCCUGUCUCAGCCUGCCGAGUAGCUGUGAGUAAAGGCCUGUGCCUCUCCACUGUGCUAAUUUUCUACUGUUUGUUGCUUUGUUUUUAAUAGAGAUGUAGUCUGGUUUUGUUGCCCAGGCUGGUCUCCAGCUUCUAGCCUCAAGCAGUCUUCCCAUCUGCUCCUACCAAAGUGCUCGGAUUAUAGGCAUGAGUCACCUUGCAUGGG